This 305-nucleotide ribosomal RNA is filed under the name uncultured bacterium. RNAcentral's name for it is "partial 16S ribosomal RNA". It matches the Rfam family "Bacterial small subunit ribosomal RNA", at positions 505 to 807 of the family's 1533-position model. The record is from RNAcentral.
ACAGCAGUAGCCACGGGAACACAGAGGGUGCAAGCGUUAAUCGGAAUUACUGGGCGUAAAGCGCGCGUAGGUGGUUCGCCAAGUUGGAUGUGAAAUCCCCGGGCUCAACCUGGGAACUGCAUCCAAAACUGGCGAGCUAGAGUAUGGUAGAGGGUGGUGGAAUUUCCUGUGUAGCGGUGAAAUGCGUAGAUAUAGGAAGGAACAUCAGUGGCGAAGGCGACCACCUGGACUGAUACUGACACUGAGGUGCGAAAGCGUGGGGAGCAAACAGGAUUAGAUACCCCAGUAGUCCCUGUCUCUUAUAC